GAAAUGCGAUAAGUAAUGUGAAUUGCAGAAUUCAGUGAAUCAUCGAAUCUUUGAACGCACCUUGCGCUCCUUGGUAUUCCUUGGAGCAUGCCUGUUUGAGUAUCAUGAAAUCUUCAAAGUAAAUCUUUUGUUAACUCAAUUGGUUUCUACUUUGGUAUUGGAGGUCUUUGCAGCUUCACACCUGCUCCUCUUUGUUCAUUAGCUGGAUCUCAGUGUUAUGCUUGGUUCCACUCGGCGUGAUCAGUUAUCUAUCGCUGAGGACACUGUAAAAGGUGGCCAAGGUAAAUGCAGAUGAACCGCUUCUAAUAGUCCAUUGACUUGGACAAUACUUUUAUGAUCUGAUCUCAAAUCAGGUAGGACUACCCGCUGAACUUAAGC
Molecule: unclassified non-coding RNA, 378 nt
Filed under: plant metagenome
Description: partial contains 5.8S ribosomal RNA, internal transcribed spacer 2, and large subunit ribosomal RNA
Rfam family: 5.8S ribosomal RNA (bases 1-105)
Source: RNAcentral